This is a long non-coding RNA of Sitodiplosis mosellana (orange wheat blossom midge), 354 nucleotides long. RefSeq lists it as uncharacterized. The transcript is spliced from 3 exons. Lineage: Eukaryota; Metazoa; Arthropoda; Insecta; Diptera; Cecidomyiidae. The record is from RefSeq and is a predicted model, not a curated record.
CAUUUCUUCAGUUUUCGGUGCAGAUGGAUAAUAUGGUGAACAUGGGAUGAUCACUGGUUGACAGGAAACAAGAAUAUAUGGACAUGGGGCGUAAAUGGGAGGAUAAUUUACGCAGAAAAUGGGACACUUCGUAAGCGAUGUUGCAAACUAACGUCAAUGAAAACGUUGAAACAUUUUACAUUGUAGAAAUGAAACUAUGAUCAAGUGAGAUAAUUUUGGAUGAUCAAAGGAGCGAUAAGAAAGUUGAGAGAUGGAAAAACGUUCAAAAUCUUCAUACAGGACAGAUUUGAAGCAUAUUCUCCAAAUAAUUCUUUAUCAAUCUUUUGCUGAGCUAAAUUAGUAAUGAAAACCCGA